AAGAGAUCGGGAUAACACCUGGAAACAGAUGCUAAUACCGGAUAACAACAGAUGAUGCCUAUCAACUGUUUAAAAGAUGGUUCUGCUAUCACUCUUGGAUGGACCUGCGGUGCAUUAGCUAGUUGGUAGGGUAACGGCCUACCAAGGCGAUGAUGCAUAGCCGAGUUGAGAGACUGAUCGGCCACAUUGGGACUGAGACACGGCCCAACUCCUACGGGAGGCAGCAGUA
This 229-nucleotide ribosomal RNA is filed under the name uncultured Lactobacillus sp. Its description in RNAcentral is "partial 16S ribosomal RNA". It matches the Rfam family "Bacterial small subunit ribosomal RNA", at positions 132 to 355 of the family's 1533-position model. The record is from RNAcentral. Lineage: Bacteria; Bacillati; Bacillota; Bacilli; Lactobacillales; Lactobacillaceae.